RNAcentral lists this ribosomal RNA (961 nucleotides) under Ascaridoidea gen. n. sp. g SKM-2023. Its description in RNAcentral is "SSU rRNA". It matches the Rfam family "Eukaryotic small subunit ribosomal RNA", at positions 83 to 1026 of the family's 1831-position model. The record is from RNAcentral. Lineage: Eukaryota; Metazoa; Nematoda; Chromadorea; Rhabditida.
GGCUCUGCGAAAGGGGCUCAUACAACAGCCAUAAUUUACUUGAUGUUGAUAUUCCACGUGGAUAACUGUGGUAAUUCUAGAGCUAAUACAUGCACCAAAGCUCCGAUCUCAUGACGAGCGCAUCUAUUAGACCAAAAACCAAUCGAGAAUAUUCGCCUCAAAACGAAUGCCUCGUAAAUUUGGUGACUCUGAAUAGCUUAGCUGAUCGCAUGGUCUCGCACCGGCGACGUAUCUAUCAAGUGUCUGCCUUAUCAACUUUCGAUGGUAGUUUAUAUGCCUACCAUGGUUGUAACGGGUAACGGAGAAUAAGGGUUCGACUCCGGAGAGGGAGCCUGAGAAACGGCUACCACAUCCAAGGAAGGCAGCAGGCGCGCAAAUUACCCACUCUCAGCACGAGGAGGUAGUGACGAAAAAUAACGAGACCGUUCUCUUCGAGGCCGGUUAUCGGAAUGAGUACAAUUUAAAGCCGUUAACGAGGAUCUAUGAGAGGGCAAGUCUGGUGCCAGCAGCCGCGGUAAUUCCAGCUCUCAAAGUGUAUAUCGUCAUUGCUGCGGUUAAAAAGCUCGUAGUUGGAUUUAAGCUCGAUGACUCGGUCCAUCCAUAGGAUGAGAACUGAGCUCAUCGGCUAUCAUCGGCUGGUUUUGUCUAGGUGGCUUUAAACGGUUGCCUAGGCUGGCUAGCAAGUUUACUUUGAAAAAAUUAGAGUGCUCAACGCGGGCUUAAUGCCUGAAUAGUCGUGCAUGGAAUAAUGGAAUAGGAUUUCGGUUCUAUUUUGUUGGUUUUUUUAACCGAAAUAAUGGUUAAGAGGGACAGACGGGGGCAUUCGUAUCGCUACGUGAGAGGUGAAAUUCUUGGACCGUAGCGAGACGCCCGACUGCGAAAGCAUUUGCCAAGAAUGUCUUCAUUAAUCAAGAACGAAAGUCAGAGGUUCGAAGGCGAUCAGAAUAACCCGCCCAAACUC